AUUACUGACGCUGAAGCACGAAAGCGUGGGUAGCGAACAGGAAUAGAUACCCUGGUAGUCCACGCCGUAAACUAUGCUCACUCGCUGUUGGCAAUAGAUCGUCAGCGGCUAAGGGAAACCGAUAAGUGAGCCACCUGGGGAGUACGAUCGCAAGAUUGAAACUCAAAGGAAUUGACGGGGGCCCGCACAAGCGGAGGAACAUGUGGUUUAAUUCGAUGAUACGCGAGGAACCUUACCUGGGCUUAAAUGUAGAGUGCAUAAAGUGGAAACAUUUUUUUCCUUCGGGACUCUUUACAAGGUGCUGCAUGGUUGUCGUCAGCUCGUGCCGUGAGGUGUCGGGUUAAGUCCCAUAACGAGCGCAACCCCUAUCGUUAGUUACCAGCACGUAGUGGUGGGGACUCUAGCGAAACUGCCGGUGUGAACCGUGAGGAAGGUGGGGAUGACGUCAAAUCAGCACGGCCCUUAUGUCCAGGGCUACACACGUGUUACAAUGGUCGGUACAGUGGGCAGCCACAUAGCAAUAUGGAGCUAAUCUCAAAAGCCGAUCUCAGUUCGGAUUGGAGUCUGCAACCCGACUCCAUGAAGGUGGAUUCGCUAGUAAUCGCGCAUCAGCCAUGGCGCGGUGAAUACGUUCCCGGGCCUUGUACACACCGCCCGUCAAGCCAUGGAAGUUUGGGGUGCCUGAAGUUCGUAACCGCAAGGAGCGACCUAGGGUAAAACAAAUGACUGGGGCU
Molecule: ribosomal RNA, 734 nt
Filed under: uncultured organism
Description: bacterial SSU rRNA
Rfam family: Bacterial small subunit ribosomal RNA
Source: RNAcentral